UACGUAGGGGGCAAGCGUUAUCCGGAAUUACUGGGUGUAAAGGGUGAGUAGGCGGCAUGGUAAGCCAGAUGUGAAAGCCUUGGGCUUAACCCGAGGAUUGCAUUUGGAACUAUCAGGCUAGAGUACAGGAGAGGAAAGCGGAAUUCCUAGUGUAGCGGUGAAAUGCGUAGAUAUUAGGAAGAACACCAGUGGCGAAGGCGGCUUUCUGGACUGAAACUGACGCUGAGGCACGAAAGCGUGGGGAGCGAACAGG
This 253-nucleotide ribosomal RNA is filed under the name uncultured bacterium. RNAcentral's name for it is "partial 16S ribosomal RNA". It matches the Rfam family "Bacterial small subunit ribosomal RNA", at positions 524 to 776 of the family's 1533-position model. The record is from RNAcentral.